GUUUUAUAUAAACUGAUGAAUCGAAAGUCAUGAAGGUAGCCAGAUCCACUGUGGCCAGAUCUAGAACUAUAUUAACCAAUACCUGGACAUUGUUUGGAAUGUUGGUAUAUGCAACAGUACUAUUUUCCUUUAAGUUUGUGACUGGGUGGGAACAGUAUUGUAAGUAAUAUGGUAGAAAUUCAAAUUAUGUGCUUAUUUAUAGUUAAGAUAUUCCUUGGUUCCAUUCUAAUGAAAUCUGAAUUGAAAUUAUUUCGAAUAAUGAAGUUCAUUUGAAGAUUAUGAAAAAAGGGACAUUUUUUUUCAGAAACAGGUCUAGAUCAUACAAUGUAUCUAUUUGAGGAUGAUCUCCUGUUGCAUGAAUAGUGUGUGGAGUAAACGACAACGAGACAGUUAUCCAGCAGCACAAAUAACCAAAAGAUAUUGUACAUUGUAGGACUCAAAAAGUAUUCAAGAGGGGUUUUGUCUAAUGUUACUUGAAAAUUACUUACUCUAUGUCAAUUAGAAGUGAGCUCACCAGACCUUUUGUAUAUCAAUUAAGACAUGUAUAUAUAACAGUAGGCUGUUCUGUGCCUUGCUUUAGGUAUUUGUGACACCAAUCCUUAUAUAAUAUUGACAAAGUUGAAGAAAAAAGAGAUAUUUUUCUAAUGUUUUCUAGUCAAAUUUCCAUCCAAUUAAACUCUUACACGUAGUUAUAAAUAAAUAGGAUUAAAGAACUUGUUGUUUGAACAGCGAGUGAGCAUACAAUAUUGUAUAAAACAUUUUUUUCAAUCACACAUAAUACUUUUAAGGUUGAUUUUAGUAUAUUUUAGCGAUACUGAGUUUGUCUAUAGUGUUAACAGCGACCAUUCCUACAUACUCUCUUGGAAUGGUCAAAGACACUUUAAAAGGAGCGUAGUAACAUUUAGUGGCUCAGAUUCCUCUAGACCUCAAGAUAGAUACAAAAUCUGCAUUCAAGCUAAGCAAUGGAUAUUAUUAGUAGCUGGUAUAACCAUAAAAUAUUAUACUGGAACUGGAACAAGUGCAAACUAUAAACAGUCAUUGAAUGGAAAUUCCGGUGACAAUUUAAAGGAAUGGUGUACAGAGGAAAGUGAAUUCUUACAUGUAGAACUGACUACACCAAAUAAAUAUUACUCACAGGGAUUGGUUCAUUUACAUGUACGGGCUGUUAGAACUUCCCACUAUCAAAAUUUUAAAGAAACGGUUGUUGUAGCAAUUAUAGGGAUGGUGGCUUAUCUGAUUCUCAUUGCAAUUGUUCGGGUUUUAAGAAGACAGCAGCACAUACAAAGAUCAUCUUAUGGGAUUAAAAGCACUGCUCAAACACUUGGCAAUUUCAGUCAAGGACAAUCAUACAUCACAGAUCCAUCAAGAGAAAUCCGACCAUAUUACAGUCAAUUCAGAUGACAUCCAUACCAGGACAAGAAAAGCAUUGACUACCACAUCAACAGAAAUAGGGUUCAUCUCAGGUUACCCUGUAACAUAAACGUUAUAUUAAUGUUAUGUAAAUUAUAUUGUUUUAUUAUCUUUAAAUACAAUUCUUAUUUGGUUU
This is a long non-coding RNA of Mytilus californianus (California mussel), 1546 nucleotides long. RefSeq lists it as uncharacterized. NCBI's taxonomy places the organism in Eukaryota, Metazoa, Mollusca, Bivalvia, Mytilida, Mytilidae. The transcript has 5 exons. The record is from RefSeq and is a predicted model, not a curated record.